RNAcentral lists this ribosomal RNA (1017 nucleotides) under Massilia psychrophila. RNAcentral describes it as "bacterial SSU rRNA". It matches the Rfam family "Bacterial small subunit ribosomal RNA", at positions 56 to 1069 of the family's 1533-position model. Lineage: Bacteria; Pseudomonadati; Pseudomonadota; Betaproteobacteria; Burkholderiales; Oxalobacteraceae. The record is from RNAcentral.
UGCAAGUCGAACGGCAGCGCGGGGCAACCUGGCGGCGAGUGGCGAACGGGUGAGUAAUAUAUCGGAACGUACCCAAGAGUGGGGGAUAACGUAGCGAAAGUUACGCUAAUACCGCAUACGAUCUAAGGAUGAAAGCAGGGGACCGCAAGGCCUUGUGCUCCUGGAGCGGCCGAUAUCUGAUUAGCUAGUUGGUAGGGUAAAGGCCUACCAAGGCUACGAUCAGUAGCUGGUCUGAGAGGACGACCAGCCACACUGGAACUGAGACACGGUCCAGACUCCUACGGGAGGCAGCAGUGGGGAAUUUUGGACAAUGGGCGCAAGCCUGAUCCAGCAAUGCCGCGUGAGUGAAGAAGGCCUUCGGGUUGUAAAGCUCUUUUGUCAGGGAAGAAACGGUGGGGGCUAAUAUCCUCCACUAAUGACGGUACCUGAAGAAUAAGCACCGGCUAACUACGUGCCAGCAGCCGCGGUAAUACGUAGGGUGCAAGCGUUAAUCGGAAUUACUGGGCGUAAAGCGUGCGCAGGCGGUUUUGUAAGUCUGAUGUGAAAUCCCCGGGCUCAACCUGGGAAUUGCAUUGGAGACUGCAAGGCUAGAAUCUGGCAGAGGGGGGUAGAAUUCCACGUGUAGCAGUGAAAUGCGUAGAGAUGUGGAGGAACACCGAUGGCGAAGGCAGCCCCCUGGGUCAAGAUUGACGCUCAUGCACGAAAGCGUGGGGAGCAAACAGGAUUAGAUACCCUGGUAGUCCACGCCCUAAACGAUGUCUACUAGUUGUCGGGUUUUAAUUAACUUGGUAACGCAGCUAACGCGUGAAGUAGACCGCCUGGGGAGUACGGUCGCAAGAUUAAAACUCAAAGGAAUUGACGGGGACCCGCACAAGCGGUGGAUGAUGUGGAUUAAUUCGAUGCAACGCGAAAAACCUUACCUACCCUUGACAUGGAUGGAAUCCCGGAGAGAUCUGGGAGUGCCCGAAAGGGAACCAUUACACAGGUGCUGCAUGGCUGUCGUCAGCUCGUGUCGUG